GAUGAACGCUGGCGGCGUGCCUAAUACAUGCAAGUCGAGCGAACAGACGAGGAGCUUGCUCCUCUGACGUUAGCGGCGGACGGGUGAGUAACACGUGGAUAACCUACCUAUAAGACUGGGAUAACUUCGGGAAACCGGAGCUAAUACCGGAUAAUAUAUUGUACCGCAUGGUUCAAUAGUGAAAGACGGUUUUGCUGUCACUUAUAGAUGGAUCCGCGCCGCAUUAGCUAGUUGGUAAGGUAACGGCUUACCAAGGCGACGAUGCGUAGCCGACCUGAGAGGGGGAUCGGCCACACUGGAACUGAGACACGGUCCAGACUCCUACGGGAGGCAGCAGUAGGGAAUCUUCCGCAAUGGGCGAAAGCCUGACGGAGCAACGCCGCGUGAGUGAUGAAGGUCUUCGGAUCGUAAAACUCUGUUAUUAGGGAAGAACAAAUGUGUAAGUAACUAUGCACGUCUUGACGGUACCUAAUCAGAAAGCCACGGCUAACUACGU
RNAcentral lists this ribosomal RNA (496 nucleotides) under uncultured bacterium. RNAcentral describes it as "partial 16S ribosomal RNA". It matches the Rfam family "Bacterial small subunit ribosomal RNA", at positions 28 to 506 of the family's 1533-position model. The record is from RNAcentral.